CUUUCACAGGAGUGAGUAAUGACCACGUGCGUAUCAAGGCAGUAGCCCUGAAGAUAACCUGCAAAAAAUGAAUAUCGCGUUGUUUGUUAAACACUAAGUCAUUUCUGCAAUUCCAUGCAGCCCAAAAUAGUGCACAUGAUCCUACACGAAUAAGUUUAGCAGUUUGAACAUUAACCCCCUGUAACCACGUACCAAAUAACGUGUUUAUACUAUUAGGGGGAUUGAUGUUGAAAGUAAUGUGAAGCGAGCGCCAUAAAAGUUUAGCCAUGGGACAAUCGAGAAAGAGGUGAUUAAUAGUUUCUUUAUCCUGGCAAAAGUUGCAUCUCGGAUUGCCUUUCUAAAUACGUUUGAUCAGAUUAUCCUUCAUUAGAAUAACCUUUUUGUGAACACAUAUGUUUUUUGAUGAUUAGGGAGGCAAAGCCUAGCCUCCGUGGUCCCAUUGAUUGAAACCAGAGCAAAACAGAGUCUUGUACAAACUGAACAUUCAGAGAAAAACCCUCAAAGAAGGCUAGGCUUGAAUUAUCGUCAAAGAAGGCUUUACCGACAAAGCAAAGUAAGAGCAUCUUCAACACUUCGAUGUAUUUUGGACACACGAAAAUUAAUUUAAAAAAUGAGACUUACCAGGACUAUCCCUUGGACCUUGGUGGUUUAGUUUUACUAACAAAAGGGCCCGUGCGUUGCAACAGGAGAAAAAAAUAGCACACGCUUUUAAUCUUUUUAUAAUCAUUUUGAUUUAUUAAAAUAAUAAGCUAACUAACUAAUGUAGUCAUUCAUAUCCUAUUUUGUUGAGAAAUCAACCCGUCCAUUGUUAAUUCCACCAUGAUGAGAAAUUGAGCGGGACAAGCAAAGCAAAACAAAGAGGCUACGUGAAUUGAUCAAUGGAAUGUUAUCUUAUUUCACUCAUGGGGUAGAGAAUGUGGGAUUAGAUGACAAACUGAAGGUGGUGUUCCAUUCUCUACCUCUACAACAAUACAAUCUUACAUUCAAUACAUUCAUUCAUCAACAAACAAAUCCCCACAAAACAAAAUUUCUUGCCGGUGCUUGGCACACGGUUGGAGGCAUGGGGAGGGGAUCUCACCAGAUGAUGAGUUCCUGCCGGAGGAGGGGAUAUGAUGAGGGGAGCAAGGGUUAGGCGCCUCUAUCUGGCCAUAAGGAGUCGUCGUGGCCGCGCCAUAACCUCGGAGCUCCCCGUGUGAGCCAUGGAGGCCCGCCUCCACCUGCAAGUACUUCGCUUCGCCGCGCCGCCGUCGUUCUGCAUCGAGCAGACGCAUCAUCCCCAGUCACUGUAGCUGUCGCGUUGAUUUGAUCCAGAAGCUGUACUCGAGUGCCGAAACGGGGGCAACAAGUGGGCAGAGGUACGGCCGCGGAGGCGGGUGGGUUGAGAUCGACAACAGUGGUGGUUGAGGUCGGCCGCGGCGGCGAGUGGUGUGGCAGCGGCCUGGGCACAGGCCAGGGUGGACCAUGGUUGACACGAUGCGCUCGAGCGCCGCAACGGGGACAGUGAGCGGGGAGAGGUACGGCCGCGGAGGCGGGUGGGUUCAGAUCGGCAGCGGUGGCGGUUGAGGUAGGCCGCGACGGCCAGUGGUGUGGCGGCGGCCUGGGCACAGAUCAGGGUGGCCGAGGGUCGACGGGAGGAGGCUAAGCGUACGGAUAUAAUUUUUGCAGCGAAUCGUUUUUUCUUUUUGCGUUGUAGAUAAAUAAUGAAAUGCGGGUUGAAUAACAAAAAUGUCGCGGUGAGUUUUCCGACGAAAGUAAUAGCCUUUUUAUUAUUCGGUAUAGAUAAAAGAAACUCAUGAGCACACAACACCGAGCCAAGACUCUGGGCUCGGAGCACAACCACUCCGCUAGCCACCCGAGCAACGCACGGUCCUCACAAAAAUUAGUUUGACAUCACUAAAAAAUGCAUUUUGCAUCAACGGACAAUUACGAGCUUAUUACGGGGUGAGUUUUUUUUUCUUCGAAAAGAAGGCUGAGCCCCGGCCUCUGCCUCGAGUAAUGCAUGCAACCAUAUAUUAAGUAAAAUCUCGGCGUACAUGAAAAGGUGCAGCAACAAGGUGCAAAAACAAAAGAUACAAGGCGAUCUUCGCGCCCAAACCGGGGAUGAUCGAAAGAUCUAGAUGACUAAACACUUAUCCUAUUAAUAUGACGUCACCAAAUCAGUUGAAGAUACCCUGUGCUACCAUCUCUCAUCGGACACACCCAGUAUCCAUAUGCUCCCUGGCUGCCACAAGAGUGAGUAAUGACCACGUGUGGAUCAGUGCAGUAGCCCUGAAGAUAACCUGCAGAAAGUGAAUAUCGCGUAAUCUGUUAAAAACUAAGUCAUUUCUGCUAUUCCAAAGAGCCCACAAAAGAGCACAUGAUCCGACACGAAUAAGUUUAGCAGACUUAACAUCAACUCCCUAUAACCAAGUCCCAAAUAACGAGUUAAUACUAUUGGAAGGAGUGAUGUUAAAAGCAACGUGAAGCGAGCACCAAACCAGUUUAGCCAUGGGACAAUCUAGAAAGAGGUGUUGAAUAGUUUCUACCCUCAGACAAAAGCUGCAUCUAGGAUUACCAUUCCAAUUUCGUUUGGCAAGAUUAUCCUUCAUAAAAAUAACCUCUUUGUGAACAAACCACAUGAAGACCUUGAUUCUAAAAGACUUUGAUCUUCCAUAUAUGCAUUGAUUUUGGCAUGGGUGUAGAAUCUAUGAGAUCUAAAUAUAUAGAUUUGACCGUGAAAACUCCACUAGAAGUUAACUUCCAAUAAACACGAUCUGGUCUGUCAGAGAGGUUAACAUCCAUCAACUUUCGGACAAGAUGCAACCAGGUAAUCCAUCUAUCAUCCACUAAGGAUCUACGAAAUUGAAUAUUUAGAGGUAUCUCGCGCAGUAUUGAAGCAACAUACACUUGUCGAUGUUGGGCAAUAUGGUACAGCUGAGGUAUUGAUAGGGGGUGAGUUUGAGAUGUCAAUUUGUGAUUAUCACUUGUUGGGUGCCCUCCUUGACAGAGAGUUCCGAUACGAAAGCAACUGAUAUGAGUGGCGUAUGUGGUGAUCAUCUCAUCUGGCACAAGAAAAACGACAACUUGCUGCACUCUCUCUCUCUCUCUCUCUCUUGUACAGUAGCCGUGUUAGUUAGCUUUGCCAUGGCGGCCACCACCAUCCUGCCCCUCCUCCUGCUGCUGCUGCUCACAUCGACACCGUCUCUGCUACUUCCGGUGGCCGCCGACGACUUCUGCGACAACGUCAAGGCCGUGGCAGCCAUCCUCUCCAAGAACGCCUCGGCUUCCCCGGUGCACUUCGCCAGCGCCACCUACGGCCAGGCCCCCGACGCGGUCUCCGCGCUCGCGCUCUGCGGCGGCGACAUCCUCGACGGCUCCGCCUGCGCCGGCUGCAUCACCAACUGGUUCGCCAACCAGGCGCUCAACCUGACGCAGUGCGCCAGGGUCGGCUCCAACUACCGGGACUGCAUCAUCGCCUACGGCGGCGCCGCCGACAACAUCCUCGCCGCGCCCUCCAACGCCACGGGAGGCUCCGGCGACAACACGCCGCCCUUCGAGGCCUGGAGCGCCAGGAACGUCUCGGUCUCGGGCGCCGCCGGCGCCGCCCCCCUCGUCGUCGGCCUCACCCGCGACCUGCUGGCGGCGACCGCGGAGAAGGCGGCCGUCGUGGCUCCCAGCCGGUACGCCACCGGCGUCAUGGACAUGGAGAGCGUGGCGGCGUACCCGAGGGUCUACUCGCAGGCGCGGUGCACGCCGGACCUGCCCGCCGACGAGUGCUCCGCGUGCCUGCGCCGUCUCCUCGGCAUGGUCAACUCCACCAUGUCCAUGCGCAUGGGCGGGCAGAUGGGUGUCACCCGCUGUUAUUUCAGGUACGACGCGUUUCAGUUCUACUCCGGCACACCACUGCUAAGUCUGCCGGCGACGGUGCCGGCGGCAGCUCUCAACAACAAACGCAGGAGCAUGUUGUGGGUGAUUCCCGUGGUUGUAGUUCCUCUAGCUGCAGCUGCAUUUCUCCUCUUCAUCUGUUACCAUCGUCGAAGAAAAGGUACGCUAGCUAAUUAUUUACUCAUACUGUACUGUUUACAAUUAAUUAGUGGUAAUUAUUAAUGUUACUGAGUAUGUUAUUUAAUUAUGCUAAAUAAUAAUGUUGCACAAGCUAGGCUCAAGAUAUGCAAGGAGGAAGAAGCAUGGGGAAAACUCGGAGUUCUCUUUGUUUGGCUUUGCAGAGCUACUCGAGGCUACAAGUAACUUCUCAGAGGAAAACAAACUUGGAGAAGGUGGCUUUGGCACCGUCUACAAGGUAAAUUAAUAGUAGGGUUUUCAUCUUUUAUGCCUUUUCCUCUUAAAGUAAGUGUCAUAAAUUUAGUAUUUCCUCCGUCUUAAAAUAAGUGUCUCAACUUUAUAGUAUAAAUUUAGUAUUACUAUCUCUAGUAUAAAGUUGUAUUAUAUUUAAAACAAUUAUUUUAAAACAAAGAGAGUAUUAAAUUAGUAUAAAUUUAGUAUUAAAGCAUCGAUACUUAUUUUGAAAUGAAGGGAGUAUAUUGUGGCCUAUUUAGAAGUCAAAUAUACUUUGUAGUACGAAAACAAGCCUAUCUACAUUGAGUCUGUAGCUGAUAACUUCUGGUACUCCCUCCCAUCCAAAUUAACUGACGAGCUGAGAAGAGCCUAACUUUUGAUUAGAUAAUCUUUUUCUCAGGGCCAGCUUUCAGAAGGGUUGGAGAUAGCGGUUAAAAGACUUGCUUCACAUUCUGGACAGGGCUUCAUAGAGUUUCAAAAUGAACUCCAGCUCGUAGCCAAACUCCAGCACUUGAAUCUGGUUAGGCUCUUGGGAUGUUGUUCUCAAGAGGAGGAGAAAAUACUGGUCUAUGAAUACUUGCCCAACAAAAGCCUGGACUACUUCAUCUUUGGUAUGCAUUUGCACUUCUUCAUUUACUUUAAUUAUUGUUUCCACACAUCAAAGCGGCUAAAUAUUACCCAACACUUUGUUUCUGUCAGCCCGUGGGUAUCUUCAUGCAUUCCCUUGUUAAUCUAACUCUACAAUUUAUUCUCAUUUUUCUAGCUAGGUGUUUUUUUUAUCCUGGCAUGUUAUAUUAAUAUCUAAUUGUUGCAUGCGUAGAUGAGGAUAAAAGGUCUUUACUGGAUUGGUCAAAACUUGUAGCAAUAAUUGAGGGAAUAGCACAUGGACUUCUUUACCUGCAUAAGCACUCCCGGUUGCUUGUUAUACAUCGAGAUCUUAAGCCGAGCAAUAUUCUCCUGGACAGCGAAAUGAAUCCAAAAAUUUCAGAUUUCGGGCUAGCAAAAAUAUUCAGCUCAAAUGACACCGAAGGAAACAUUACAAGAAGAGUGAUUGGCACAUAGUAAGUUUCGCAUAGCAAUUAUACAUAUUACAAUUCAACCAUAAAAAGUAGUCUUGACAUGCAUCAUAUACCAUUUUUUAGUGGUUACAUGGCCCCUGAGUAUGCUUCGAAGGGCAUCUUCUCUAUUAAAUCCGAUGUCUUUAGCUUUGGUGUAAUCAUUUUGGAGAUUCUUAGCGGAAAACAGAAUUCUGGUCAGCAACAAUGUGGAGAAUUCAUCAAUCUGCUUGGACAUGUGAGCUUAUACAUGCAAACUUAAGCUUGUAAAAUUGUACUUUUCAUUUGCUACGUAAUCUAAUUUGUGUAAUGGAAUUGCAAAUAGGCAUGGCAAUUAUGGGAAGAUGGAAAGUGGUUUGAUCUCGUUGAUUCAUCAUUUGUUCCCCAUAGUCACUCGGCAAAGAUGAUGAGGUGGAUUAACAUAGCAUUGUUGUGUGUACAAGAGAAUCCAGCCGAUCGACCAACUAUGGGAGAUGUUGUUUCAAUGCUAAGCAGUGAGACUAUGAUCUUGGAUGAUCCUAAGCAGCCAGCAUAUAUCAAUGUAAGAGUGGGAAAUGAAGAUGAGUCCACUGCUCCCCAGUCAGAUAGUACUAAUGAUAUGACCAUGUCUGUCACAACUCCAAGAUAGGUUUCCCUUGGUGUUAUGUUUUUCAUUGUAAUGUUGUGGUAUUCACAAAACUUAGAUGUCAUAUGAUGCGUAUGUUUAAGUGUCAUUUCAAAUGUGAGAUUGUGUACCCUAAAGAGUGUAAAGAAGGUUUCCAAACUAGUUAGAAUACAUACUUAGCUAUUUUUUCCAUACCUUUGAUUCGCCUUUCCUUUUUAAAUUUUGCAAGAAAAUUACCUAACAGUAUAUGUUCAUGUAGUGUUUGAUUAGCUCUUGUUAUCAUGUUAGGGCGGAGGCCCGGUGUAAUUUGUGUAACCUUGAUAUUAAGGUAUUGCUCUAUAAAAAAAGUGCAGUGUAGUAUAUGUUUGUACCUUUUUUGUCCCACAUAGGAACAUAUUUUGCAUGGUAAUAUACAGAAUAAUCCACAACAAUGGAUUAUCCCAAAUGUGGUUCAAUUCUAUUAAGCCGUUUUAGGAAUUGGUUGGAUAUCUUCAAAGAAAUUACGACUACAAUAUCUAGACUGUAUCUACCAGAAAAUUACAAACUACAAUGUCUAGAGUGGAUGGUGCCAAGGAGAGGAGGUGUCAUCAAAAAUAGCUCAAUCGGCCCCCAACCCGUCACGUGUGGGGUGCCGACGUGGUAGCAUUGGUGAAUGAGGAGAUCUCAUGUUGUAGGAUUAGGUUAGUAUCACCAAAGAGGGGGUAGUAGUCAUGGUCAUGGCCAUGUCGAGCAAGUCAUCAGGAUACAAGGAUAUAGUCCUAUUCAUUCAUUGAAAAAGACUUUCCUCCCGUUUUAUAUAUAAAACAACCAACAGAUCCAUAAAGUCUCUAGUCUCGCUGCACUUGCAUCCCCCGCGUCGCCUCCCUGGCGGCUCGGGGGGAAAAUGUUGGCGAACGUCGCAUGGAAAACAAAAAUUUUCCUACGCGCACGAAGACCUAUCAUGGUGAUGUCCAUCUACGAAAGGGGAUUUUCGAUCUACGUACCCUUGUAGAUCGCUCAACAGAAGCGUUAAGAAACGCGGUUGAUGUAGUGGAACGUCCUCACGUCCCUCGAUCCGUCCCGCGAACUGUCCCACGAACCGUCCCGCGAUCCGUCCCACGAUCCGCUCUGAUAUAGUCUCUGAUAUAGUCUCGCCGCACUUGCAUCCCCCGCGUCGCCUCCCUGGCGGCUCGGGGGAAAAAACCCUAGCCUCCGCGAUUCAUCUCACUUCCCUUCUAGUCUCAUCGUUGUCGGAGGGGGCCUCCUGGCAAAGGUCGGGCCGACCCCGAGGAGGGUGGCGGCAGGGUACUUGUCCUUGUGGUGGCGCGGGCGCGCGUGGCACUUGGCACGACAGCUUGGAGCUGCGGGCGGCGGCGGCCACCGCCACGGGAUGGGCACAACGGCGCUCUGGAUCGUGGUGCAUGACGCCGGUGCGGCCUGGGCGUUAUCCCAGCCCGACGGCCUUGACUGGGACAUCCGACUUUAGAUGUUAGGAUUUGGUGCGAUGUAUGUUUGUUGUUAGGCUUGGACAUUCGGCACCACGUCAUCAAGGGGACUGGACUAGCGACAGGUGUUGUCAAGAUGAUGGUUUCAGGCUUACUGAUGUAUUGCUUUGUAAGGUCUUUAUGAAUAAUUAAUAAAAUGAUUGCAUGCAUCGUCCGGAUGCAAAGGCCCGGGGUACACCUUCUUUUCCAAAAAAAAUAAGAGCCACAGAGUCAUAACAAAGUACACGCCACACAUAGGAAUGGCAAUGGGUACCCAUUAUCUACGUACCCUGCGGGUAAAACCCCUAUUAGGGUAAGGGUAUGUGAAUUUUUCGUACCCAUGGGUUUAUAAAUAGGAAAAUCUGAAACCCAUCUGGUAGAGCGGGUAUGGGUAUGAGAUCAUAUAACACAUACCCACAUACCCAUGUACCCAUAUAAAAUCUUUGUAAACUCAAUAUUAUCUCUACAAUCUACAAUAUGUCAAGAGUUUUUGAAACGAAAAUGUAUGACUAUGUGUUGUUGUUUAUGACUAUAUUAUGUUGUUUAUAAGUAUAUGUUGUUGUUAUAAUCUAUUUUUUGUAAACUAUGACUAUAUGUUGUUGUUUAUGACUAUAAGUUGCUCGCCUUAUUGAUUUGUAAAUAUGGGUAAUUUUAUCCGCGGUUAGCCAUCUAUCCUGUCAGGUAACGGAUGUGUAAAAAAAUUAUACCCGUUAACAUAUAUAAAUAAGAUGAUGGGUAAGCUUGAGGGGCGGGUAAGGAUACGGGAUGGUUCCACCCUUACUCAUAUAUAUCCUACGAAUGCCAUCCCUAACCACACACAGAGUAGUAAAAGAAACGAGUCCUAUUCUUUUUAAUAGGAUUCACUCUACAGAGACAAAAUAAGAUUCUCUCUACAAAGUAAACAAGGACAAAUUAAUCAUCAGAUCCCCCAAAAUUAUGCUAACCCACUCACCAAGAUCCGGCGGCUCAGCUGGUCUUGGAGAGUUGGAAGGUGGGAGGGUGGACUGGAGACCGGACGUACAGCAACUUGGAUGGUGAUCAGAUCACUUGUGCAGUAAACGACGAUCAGACCCAAGAAAAGAAAAGAAAAACAUCCCGACAUCUCGCUUUGGAAGAUAAUGCAUGCAGUACGUACUUGAUAAGUAGAUAUAGUAUAGUGACAGACCACUUGUGCUGUAAACGACGAUGACCCAACCAAGACCCGUGCAUAUAGCAGCUGCUCAAGUCAGUCUUCUGGCCAUAUUAAAUAGUGCACUAAUAUUGUAAUACAUAGAAGCAUUACAACUGGACCCUUCGAAUGAUCCCUCCUACGUCUACAGACGUGUCCGAUUAGUGACCGGAUAUAAAAGAAAAAAAAUGAUCCAACCGGAUCACUCAUAUUAUUCAUAUAUGUUCGGGUUAUCUGUGAGCCCUCAUAUUCAUCUCAAAUAUGGGAGAAUAUGAGGGCUCGCGAACACGCCCGGACGUGCCCGAUCAGUGUGCCACAUAGGACGCGGUCUCAUCUCAGACCAUCUUUUUUUCUUUAUUCAUUUUUUUUUGUUUCUCUUUCUUUCUCUCUAAUAAUCACAUGGAAGUGACCAGACAUAUAAAAAAAAUGAAAAAUAUGGCUACACGAACGGAUAAAUAAAGGACAGACGUGUCCAUAAAUAUUUGAAGGGUCGGAUUUGCAAGGUCUGUACGGUAGAGGCUUUAAACAUAUUAUAGUCAUCACUAGUUGGCCGCCCAUGCGUGCCAUGAGGCAAAUCAGUGGUAGCGCCGCAGUUUCCAGCGUGUCAACUUGUCAAUUGGCAUCUCACCGUAUCUAAUUUAUACUCCUUGUUUAUGUCUCUCAACGAAAAAGAUCAUACUGUAGUGUACUUGGACCAACUUUCAACUUUAUGUGAGGACUAGAUAUUUUGCAAGGCAUUAUUGCCGAACGCGUGCGUGCGUGCGUGCAUGGAGGAAGAAUGGGUCGUCCCGGCAAAACAUAGACUAGAGUUGACUGACUUCAAAUGCUAAGAGCAACUCCAGCCGAUGACCCAUUUCGUUCUUUGGAUCACCGCCCUCAAAAAGAUGGUUCAAUACAAAGACUUAUUUUUAUUUUGUGUCCGCUCUAUGUUUGCUCGGAUUUAUUUCUGUCUCAAAUUUGAUCCACAUUUAGGUCUCGGACGGACAUAAAACGAACAUUUUCUGCUUCUUCUUCGUCCGCCUCAAUCCGCUGCAUGUGUCGCAUGACCCAGCUGCCAUUGAACGCACUACAUUACCCACAUAAAAAAGGGAUAAAUAUGUCCGCUAGACCGACCCAAAUGAACAAAAGUUGAUGUCCGUUUGGGUUUUUGCGUUGGAGUUGCUCUAAACCUAUCAACUUCAGUCUUACCACUUGAGAAAUUAGGCUCUAUAUGUAUUUCCUUCAUCUUGAAUCAGUCGUUAACUCGAGAUACGUUCUUUUAAGCAUCAAGAGUUAAUAAUUACAACGAAAGUUCAGUGAAAUUUCGCAUAUUUCAGUGGGGUCCAAAAUAUUUUGAAACCCAAAAUUUUGAUGCGGAUUUAAACCGAUUUCAAAAUAAAUUUAAACUAUGUUAGAAUACAUUAAAAUUGAGUAAAGUUUAAAAUAUCAAAACCCAAAAUAAAUUUCGCAUAUUUCAAUGACGUCCGAAAUAUUGUGUUUCCGAAGUUAAAAACCUUGGCAUCAACUAGUUGCAAUUGGAGGGGGUAGCAGCUUAUUCAUAUGCCUAAUUGCUACCUAAUUAAGAUGCUUGUGCGAUAUGAAUCAACUUCUCUUCUUGUCCAAAGCAAUGGCCUUUUGAAAGCAACGGCCAACAAACUACAUAGACUUUCUUCACAUUCUUCCAAGUAAUAAUGCACUGCAUUUCCAUGGCCACCUGAAAGCAACAUUUCUUUUCCGAAACAUGCACGUACGGUUAUUAGUCAUUACCAAUCAUACCGGACAAAGACCGGUAAAUAUAUAGAUAUUCAAAAAAUCACUAUUUCUUUGCAUUUUUCCAAGUGAAAGCAAAGCAACGACAAAGAAACAAAAAAUAAUCAGGCCGGGCAGGCAGAAGGCUAAUUUGUUGCAACGUUCGUUAUUGACUCUUGGAAAGACCAGCCGGCAAAUAAAUAAUCACGUAUGGUGUUGGUCCUCUCAAUCUCAAUCCCACGUACGGUUAGCAGCAUGACGGGCGUGCUGCUGCUGCUCCUCGUCCUCCUCAUGCCGGCGUCGGCAACGGCGAUCGGGAUCACCUGCGGCAGCGGCCGCAACAACACGGCCAACACCACCUUCCAGUCCAGCCUCGCCGUGCUGUCCGCCACCCUCCCUGCCAACGCCUCCUCCUCCCCGCAGCUCUUCGCCACCGCCACCGCCGGCGUGGUGCGCGCGCUCGCACUCUGCCGCCGCGACACCGUCAACACCACCGCGUGCGCAGACUGCCUCGCCUCCUCCUUCAAGUACGCGCAGAAGAUGUGCCCGAACCGCAAGACCGGCGCCACCGUCUACUACGACUACGACGAGGUGAACGCCCUGCAGCCAGGCUGCAUCCUCGGCUUCUCCGGUGACGCCGGCUUCCUCGGCCCGGCGACGAGUACCACAGGGAACGUCACCUUCUUCCAGUACUGGAACCCGGUGAGCCUCCCCGGCAACGCCCGCGUCAUCGCCGCUGCCGUCCGCGAGCUCCUCAACGAGACGGCACGCGACGCUGCCGCCGCUCCGAGGGGUUUUGCCACGGCCUUCAUGGACUCCAUUGGCGGCGCCGCCCCGACGCUCUACUCCCUGGCGCAAUGCACGCCGGACCUGUCCGCCCGCGACUGCCUGGCGUGCCUCCGGCGGCUCGUCGGCGCGGUCAACGCCACAUACUCCGUGCGCAUGGGAGGACGGAUGUUCGUGCUCCGCUGCAACAUCAGGUUCGAGGCAUUUAUGUUCUACGAUGACAAGAACAUGCGGCGGAUCCCAUUUUCAUCUCCAUCAUCCAUGGCUCCGGCACCGGCGCCGGCCCCCACAGGCAAGAUAUAUAUAUAUAUAAUAUGCCGACGAUCCAUAUAUGAAAAAACGUACUCUUGGCUAAUUGGUUGGCAUGUUAUUACUAUGAAUUACAUAUGUUAAUUAUUUCGUCCAUGUAUGUUUAAUUAUGAAGGACAUGGAGUCAGACCUUGGGUAAUAGCCUUAUCGGUAGCUGCUCCUGUAGCACUGGUUGCUCUCUGCUGCUUCAUCAUUUGCUGUUGUCGCCUUAGAAAAAGGCAAACAAAAAAAGGUGGGUAAAUUAGCUAGUUACUGAAAUUCUCAAUAAAAAUAUAAUAAAGAGUACACAUAAGUAGAGAGAUCGAUAUUGAUAGUGCAAGUUAACAAUUUUCAGGUAAAGUUGCCUUACAGGAAAAAAGUAGUCACCAAUUUCAAGGAGAUGAACUAGUUUGGGAAAUGGAAGCAGAGUUGUCUGAAUUUUCAGUAUAUGAGUUUCAUCAGAUAUUAGAGGCUACAGAUAACUUUUCUGAGGAAAACAAACUUGGAGAAGGUGGAUUUGGCCCAGUUUAUAAGGUAAAUUUAUAAAACCAUGCAUUGUGUGUACUGAAAAGCAACCCGGGUUAAUUGUUGCAUAUAUUGAUACAAUAUAUUUAUUUUUCCCAGGGCCACUUUCCUGAGGGAAUAGAGAUAGCAGUUAAGAGACUUGAUUCAGAUUCAGAUCAAGGUUUCAUAGAGUUCAAAAAUGAAGUUGAGCUCAUAGCCAAACUUCAACACAGAAAUUUGGUUAGGCUCAUGGGAUGUUGCUCUCAAGGAGAGGAGAAAGUAUUGGUUUAUGAAUACUUGCCAAACAAAAGCUUGGACUUCUUCAUCUUUGGUACAUAUAUAUUUGCAUUUUCAGACCCACAUGCUAGAUAUUGUCUGUCAUAAUGCUACACUAUUUUUUUACUCAAAUGGUGAUUUACAUGCUUCUUCCUCUGCUAUACUAACAUUUAAUUCACAUGCAGAUGAAGAUAGAAAAGUUCUACUGGAUUGGGAGAAACGUCUUGUCAUAAUUGUAGGAAUAGCAGAAGGACUUCUUUACCUACAUAAGCACUCUAGGUUGCGUGUUAUACAUCGGGAUCUCAAACCAAGCAACAUUCUUUUGGAUAGCACAAUGAAUGCUAAAAUUUCAGAUUUUGGACUAGCAAAAAUAUUUAGCUCAAAUAACAACGAAGGAAAUAAAACGAGAAAGGUGGUUGGCACAUAGUAAGUUUCCUCUGAAUUACUUCACAUAUGAUUAUUUUUAUUAUAACUCAACCAUAUAUUAAUUGGACAUACAUUGUUACUUUAUUUUAGUGGCUACAUGGCACCAGAGUAUGCUUCCCAUGGCCUCUUCUCUGUCAAAUCAGAUGUAUUCAGCUUUGGUGUUCUAGUUCUAGAGAUCAUUAGCGGGAAAAAGAAUUCCCAUGAGUGUGGAGCUUUCAUCAACCUCAUUGGAUAUGUGAGUGCAUAUUUACACAUCCACAUAACAAGAUAAUAUUAUUUAUUUAUGAUGUUUCCCACCUAAUUAAUUGAUGAAAUUUAAAACAGGCUUGGCAAUUAUUUGAAGAGGAAAGAUGGACCGAAAUCGUUGAUGCGGCAUUGGUUCCCAACGGUCAUUCGUCAGAAAUGAUGAGGUCUAUCAACAUUGCAUUGUUGUGUGUACAAGAAGAUGCAAUUGAUCGACCGACCAUGUUGGAUGUUGUUGCAAUGCUAAGCAGCAAGACUAUGAUCUUAAAUAAGCCUAAGCACCCAGCAUAUUACAGUAUAAGUGUAGGCAACAACGAAGCAGCAACUGCUGCUAAGUCUUCUAGUUUUAAUGAUGUGACUAUAUCUACGAUAACUCCUAGAUAGUUUAUCUUAGCAUAAAUUUUAUUUUUAACUUGAUGUCAUAUAGUGCAUAAAUUCUAUGAAUUAUAUGUAGUGCAUAAGUUGUUAUUUGUAUCUUAAUUGUAAUGUAUUUUGGUGCCUAUGGAUGUCUUAGUCAAAGCCAUGUUUAUUUUACCGAUUCUGAAAUAACAGUAUGCACACUUUGGUGGCAUGGAUAUUUUAGUAGUUUUUAAUCUUUUAAAACAAUGUGGCUAGUGGAUCCAUGGAGAAAUUAUCAAAACAAAGUGAGUCAACUCUAGUCUAGGUUCGGGACGACCCAUUCUUACCCCAUGCAAUGCACGUGGCAAUAAUGUCUUGCAACAUGACAAGCUUAUCUAGUCCUCACCUAACGCUGCAACUUGAUGCAACAUGCAGUGCAUCCACGCACGGUGACAGCAAAGUUUUUCAAAAGCUGUUACAUAAACAAAGUAUAAUAUUAAUUAAAUACGGCAAGAUAAUUGACAAGUUGACAUGUUGGAACUGCCGUGCGACCACUGAUUUGCUUCACAACAUGCACGGCCGGCCAACUAAUGAUAAUUACUCCAUUCAUUACUAAAUAUAAGUCUUUUUAGUGGUUUAAUUAACAAACACAUACAGAUAUAUAUAUAGACAUAUUUUAAAGUAUAGGUUCAUUCAUUUUACUCCGUAUAUAGUCAUUAGUAAAAAAAAUAAAAAGACUUAUAUUUAAAAACGGAGAAAGUAUAAUUUAUCCUAAAUGGCCCUUAAGCAAGCUAAAUCCCAUUGAUGCCCACUGGAAAACUUUAAACCAGUUAUGGCCCUUUCCAGAAAUGCCAAUGGAUUGGCGGUUUUUGAACUACGUAGAAACGCCAAUCGCAUUAGAUUUUUUCAAAGGACACAAGGCGAUUUUGCAAAAAUCUUGGUUGAAAGAGCACCACGCAACUCAAAUAGCUGGACUGCACCGCUGGCAUAGUGCAGUACACUGAUGGACGGCCAGGCUUGACCUUGACUCAUGGGCUGACCGCUGUCAUGGCUAGAAGACUGACUACCAAUUCAUUGGUCUUGGGUCUAAACCACUAUAUAGCACGUACAACUUGUCUGCAUACCUUUCAAAGCCAGAUGUCAGGUGGAAUUAUUGUGGAACAACAUGAUAUGUCUUCACAUGGAUAUCCAAGUGGCAAGAAGGAAAUAUCUUUCACAAUCUAUUUCUUGGCAAGAAUUUAUUUAAAACAGUGUGGUGAAUUAUUGCGAACUGAAUGUUGGUGUCACUGUACUUUCUUUCCCUCUAUCAAUGGAAUGAUACACCCAGCGCGUAUUUGCGAAAAAAAAAAUGUUGCUGUCAAAAUAGUGUGGUGAAUUCAAUCGUAGGAAGCCAAUGGUGUAAGCAUUAAGCGUGGAAGAAAAAACAUAAAGGCAUAAGGCAGCAUCAUAUACACAUCAUGAACUUACUGUAGAAAGUAAUACAGCAAGAAUUCAAUGUGUAUGUGUCUUCGUUGAGCACUCUGCCUCGAUGCCUUAACCACCACCGGCACCAAUGUAGAUCUCUUCAGACAUUCAUCUGAGAUGAGGGACAUCAGUCCCUUCACUUCCAGUUGAGACAUUUGAAACCAAAUACAUGGGGACAUGUAGCAUAGUUGUAGCAUGAUGAACGCACAAAAUUAUCCCUGGUAUCAACCUUCUGCAGCAGAACCCGUUAGAUAAACUUCUUCAAAAAGACAGGUUAGUUCUAUUGGAGAAAUAAUUUUCAUCUGUGCAUAACUGCAUAUACUAGAUUGGAUGUGUGCACUAUGAACUUAUGAUAAACUUAAGACCAAUUAGCUAUCCAAAGCAAGACAAGAGAAGCAAAGGAGUACCAUAUUUUUCCCUUUUAUAGCGAUAAAAAAAUCUAGAUAAAAAUAUAUUUGAUUGUCUGCAAAUUCAGAUGAAAGUAUCUCAUUUUGCUUGAAAAGGCUAGCAUGGCAAAACAAAUAAUAAUAAAGAGCAGGUCAGGAGUUACAACAAUAACAAUAUCACAAACUUCUAUUAUAUAGAGCAGGCCAAGCAAAAGUUACGACUACAACAAUAUAAAGAACAUAAUACUAGAUAACAUGCAAAAUCAAGGUAUAAACAUUAAAGAAAGCAGCUCAUAAUUGAUGCAAAUCUGAAAACCAGCAGCUUUGAUGCUGGGCACUGAUGGAUAAUAUAUCUUCUUCUUCUAUUUCUAUGACAUGCAUAGCAAAUUGUACCAAUUUAAGGUUCAGUUCGACAGAUACAGAAGGAGAAAUGAUAAGACGAUAAAUUAGGAAAUACCUUAAGUUAGACAGGAGCAAGGAGGAGCAGCAGCUCAGCUCUGCAGUUGUGUGCCUGCGUGAGUAGGCGAAUAGCUAGCUCAACCAGCGGAGGCAGGUGCACAGCCCGGCGCAGGCAGGCAGGGGCAGAGGAUUGCACAACCGGUAAACAGAGGAACAACAGCCGGUCAAUCAAGAGGAAGCAAAUAAAAUAAAAGAGCUAUACAGAAGCAGGCAACUCGUUACUGGUUACAUGGAAAUGCU
RNAcentral lists this long non-coding RNA (15704 nucleotides) under Hordeum vulgare. RNAcentral describes it as "long non-coding RNA (HVUL_LNC014451)". The record is from RNAcentral. Lineage: Eukaryota; Viridiplantae; Streptophyta; Magnoliopsida; Poales; Poaceae.